CGUGCCAGGCAGCCGCGGUAAUACGUAUGUCCCGAGCGUUAUCCGGAUUUAUUGGGCGUAAAGCGAGCGCAGACGGUUUAUUAAGUCUGAUGUGAAAGCCCGGAGCUCAACUCCGGAAUGGCAUUGGAAACUGGUUAACUUGAGUGCAGUAGAGGUAAGUGGAACUCCAUGUGUAGCGGUGGAAUGCGUAGAUAUAUGGAAGAACACCAGUGGCGAAGGCGGCUUACUGGACUGCAACUGACGUUGAGGCUCGAAAGUGUGGGUAGCAAACAGGAUUAGAUACCCUGGUAGUCCACGCCGUAAACGAUGA
RNAcentral lists this ribosomal RNA (310 nucleotides) under uncultured bacterium. RNAcentral describes it as "bacterial SSU rRNA". It matches the Rfam family "Bacterial small subunit ribosomal RNA", at positions 504 to 812 of the family's 1533-position model. The record is from RNAcentral.